CAGCAGCCGCGGGAACACGGAGGGAGCUAGCGUUAUUCGGAAUUACUGGACGUAAAGCGCACGUAGGCGGCUUUGUAAGUUAGAGGUGAAAGCCUGGAGCUCAACUCCAGAAUUGCCUUUAAGACUGCAUCGCUUGAAUCCAGGAGAGGUGAGUGGAAUUCCGAGUGUAGAGGUGAAAUUCGUAGAUAUUCGGAAGAACACCAGUGGCGAAGGCGACUGACUGGACAAGUAUUGACGCUGAGGUGCGAAAGCGUGGGGAGCAAACAGGAUUAGAUACCCCCGUAGUCCCUGUCUCUUAUAC
This 301-nucleotide ribosomal RNA is filed under the name uncultured bacterium. Its description in RNAcentral is "partial 16S ribosomal RNA". It matches the Rfam family "Bacterial small subunit ribosomal RNA", at positions 509 to 807 of the family's 1533-position model. The record is from RNAcentral.